Non-coding RNA from Pelobates cultripes (western spadefoot toad), 340 nucleotides. NCBI's taxonomy places the organism in Eukaryota, Metazoa, Chordata, Amphibia, Anura, Pelobatidae. The record is from the annotation of a GenBank genome assembly.
AGUGACAGAGUGAGGGAGGGGAUGACUAGUGACAGAGUUAGGGAGGGAGGGAAGUGGUGACUAGUGACAGAGUGAGGAAGGGGGUGACUAGUGACAUAGUGAGGGAGGUGGUGACAAGUGGCAGAGGGAGAGAUGGGGUGACUAGUGACAGUCACCACCUCCCUCACUCUGUCACUAGUCACCACCUCCCUCACUCUGUCACUGUGUCACCCCCUCCCUCUGUCACUAGUCACCCCCUUCCUCACUCUGUCACUAGUCACCACUUCCCUCCCUAACUCUGUCACUAGUCACCCCCUCCCUCACUCUGUCACUAGUCACACCCUCCCUCUGUCACUGAGGG